Phascolarctos cinereus (koala) is the source of this 679-nucleotide non-coding RNA. Lineage: Eukaryota; Metazoa; Chordata; Mammalia; Diprotodontia; Phascolarctidae. The record is from RefSeq and is a predicted model, not a curated record.
CCUACUGUUUUAACUAAUUCCCUCUUGUCAAGCCUCAACUUUCAGAAGAGCACUAAUGAAUCAGAAGACCCACAGAGUGACACGAAGACUCAAAAUUAAUUGGCACUGAAGGAUCCAAGGCUUUUUCAAAUAAUGUGAUAUAUUGAUUAACAAAUCCUUUCAGAAAAGAACCUCUUUUAGUGAAAUUUCCCUGAGUGAAGAAGGGACUGGCUGGUUGUGGUGGCUGAAGAAGAAGAUGAAAUAGUGAUGCUGCCUCAAGUAAAUUUUUGCUUAGGGCAAGCUGUGGCUCAUACAAGUGUCUGGAUCUAUCUGGAAAACCCACAUAGUGCUGUCACUAGAGAAUGGGAGAAAUCAUACUUGUCACAAGGACCUGAAGUGGCAACAAAUUGGGUUAGUGGGCUCAGCGGAAUAACAUUUCUUGGACAUUUCCAAACCAGGCUGCCUGCCCUCUGGCCACUAUCCUCAUCCCCUUCUCCUCCACCACUGGAAGCUUUGAUUCUGCCCUGGGACAUCUUGGUUCUGAUAGAUAAGAAAACUGAGGCCCAGUAUGGCUAAAGGAUUUGUCCAAAUCCACACAGCUAUGGCAAUGGCAGAAUGGAAAUUGUUUGGAAUAAAGGAGCCCUGGGUUUGAAUUCUGUAUCAAACUUUUACUAGCUGGGUAACCUUGGACAAGUCAAUU